GAUGAACGCUGGCGGCGUGCCUAAUACAUGCAAGUCGAGCGAACAGACGAGGCGCUUGCUCCUCUGACGUUAGCGGCGGACGGGUGAGUAACACGUGGAUAACCUACCUAUAAGACUGGGAUAACUUCGGGAAACCGGAGACAAUACCGGAUAAUAUAUUGAACCGCAUGGUUCUAUAGUGAACGCCGGUUUUGCUGUCACUUAUAGAUGAAUCCGGGUCGCAUUAGCUAGUUGGUAAGGUAACGGCUUACCAAGGCAACGAUGCGUAGCCGACCUGAGAGGGUUAUCGGCCAAACUGGAACUGAGACACGGUCCAGACUCCUACGGGAGGCAGCAGUAGGGAAUCUUCCACAAUGGGCGAAAGCCUGACGGAGCAACGCCGCGUGAGUGAUGAAGGUCUUCGGAUCGUAAAACUCUGUAAUUAGGGAAGAACAAAUGUGAAAGUAACUAUGCACGUCUUGACGGUACCUAAACAGAAAGCCACGGCUAACUACGUG
RNAcentral lists this ribosomal RNA (497 nucleotides) under uncultured bacterium. RNAcentral's name for it is "partial 16S ribosomal RNA". It matches the Rfam family "Bacterial small subunit ribosomal RNA", at positions 28 to 507 of the family's 1533-position model. The record is from RNAcentral.